Molecule: long non-coding RNA, 522 nt
Filed under: Physcomitrium patens
Lineage: Eukaryota; Viridiplantae; Streptophyta; Bryopsida; Funariales; Funariaceae
Description: long non-coding RNA (PPAT_LNC004440)
Source: RNAcentral
GCUUGAAUUUCUUUUUAAAAGCAUAAAGAUUGUUAUUAGAGGGUUCUUUAAGACCUAGAAAUUAUUGUUCAAAGUCAAGGUUUGUAUCAAUGAUUUGGAUUUUAUAAUAUAUAAUUAGGAGUAGCAAUUUUGGCUAGUUUGUAUAAUUGGUGUAACACCUAUGGUUGAAAUUUUGAAUUUUUUUGGAUUAUUAGGUGUGCUAAGUUUGUAAAUUUUUUUAAAAAUAAUCUAAUAGCGUGGUUUAGAGAUAUCUAGUUUUUAGUGCAAGAGGAUUUCGGAAGGUGGCAGUUUGAGGUUGGGUAGGAUUUCUAUGAUAUUUGAAAAUCUAUCAAUCGGAUUAAGGUGAAAAUUGGCAUGGCGUUGAAAGACUUGAAGAUCAAUCUACACACCAAUUUUGAGACAAAGUUAACGGUUGGAAAGGAAGAAAUAAUUGUUGGAAUUUCUGCUUCACAUUUCAAGUUGGCGGCCAAGUGACAUUAGUGCAAUUUUUGGAGGUUUUUUCAUAAUCAAUAAGUUGGAUUG